Molecule: long non-coding RNA, 11637 nt
Filed under: Lynx pardinus (Iberian lynx)
Lineage: Eukaryota; Metazoa; Chordata; Mammalia; Carnivora; Felidae
Source: RNAcentral
AUUGAGUUACUGAUCAGCAGUGAGCAAUAGAAGCUGUUCAAACAGAAAAGAAGCCCAGCCGGGAGGUGGUGCCGCCACCACGCUCCUUUGAAGCGCUGCUGGCCCCACGGGCUGUGAGGGAGGCUUAGGGUUUACUCCCUCCGGUUCCCAGAAAAGCUGGUAGCAAGAAGAGGGUAUUAUUUCUAAUUGGAUGAUGAAAGUCAGCUCCGGGGACAGAGACCAAAGGGCCAAACGUAAAAAGGGGAGGAAGUGAAAACAUCUGAAUCAAAAGGUUGAGGUAAAACCAAGAGACAGGUGUUUGCAGUGAACCGCGCAAUAACCCUCGUCUUGCCUCCCUCCCCAGGUCCUCAGGAAGCAGCCAAGUGGGGAAGGACAGCAAGGAGUAAGAAAAAGCAAGGCUGAGGAUUCGGAAGCUGAUUUCCUUACAAAGAGUUCAUGGUACAGUGGAAAUUCUCUGUCUUAUCAGGAGGCAAGGCUGACCUUUCUUUGUGAGAUUCCCACAAGUUGUACCAGGGCCUUUCUUGUGAGUAGAAUUUGACUGAAGAUAUGCCAGAAUGGCAUUACUGGGCCAUGCGUGUCCUUUUGCCUCCACAGAUAAGACUUUUCAUUUGUCACCAUUUGAAGUCUGAAUUUUAAGCAGAUUUGUAGACUAGUGGCUCAUAUCCAUCCACUCGUUCGGCUGUAUCACCUGUCUUAUCCCAGGGGACUUUCCAGAAUUAUUGCCUUCACCAUGAAGUGACGUGAGUUCCCCAAUUCAAACCUGGGCUUCUUUAGCAUUUUUACUUUUCAAAAAACAUAUCAUAGAGAAGAUAAAUAGAUUGGCAAGGCUUUUUUAUGUCUUUCCCAAUGCUGACUGCAAUCGGUUUAUUGACAACGUAUUUAAAGUCAUUUGUACCUCUUCAGUCAUGAUUUCCAUCUUCUUCUGGAUUUGGUGGACCUGUAGGUUCUGAGUGCGAGAGGUCUUCCAAAUAUGAUCACACAACAAAUGAAGCAUAUAACUAUUUGUAGUCUUGAUAUCGACAUGAGCUUCAGUCAUGGCCUGACAUUUUCUCGACCAUGGAGCACAUUUUUCAUGGGUAAGAUCCAUGUCAUACAAAUUGGGUAGGCAGUUUUGCCUUGAAUAUCCUCAGUAAUUACUUCGGAUUUUCUAAUGCACAUUCAUCAUUCUGCAGAGCAGGCCUCACUUUAACAAAAUGACCUUUGAGGCAAUCAGAUGCAUUUUGGUUCCUUGGGUCCCUGAGACUAACAAUUUUCUGUGUUUCCUAUAUCAAACAUGGCUGGUGCUUUCACAUCAUUUCAAUCUUCCUUAGAAAAUGGUUCUUGGUUUCCUUUUGCCACCUUUUGUGGGAAGUUUUUUUUUUUAAAGGUAGGGAACAUAUGAAUGAUAUAACAGAGGGUAGUUUGGUGAGGAGAGCACUGUGCUAUGGGUUAAGUAAGGUGGGUCUUAAUUUCAACUCUGCCACUGUCUCUGGAGUACCAUUGGUCAUAUACUUUCUAUGGUAGAGACUGGCUACCUAUUCACCAAACCUCUUUCCUUCCCUCUCCAACACACAGCUAAACCCAGGUCCCAGCUUUCCUCAUAGUCAGAUGUGUCCAUAUGACAGGCUCCAGCCAAUGGAACAUGCACCAAGGUUUGUAAUUAGACCUGAAUUAUAAUCCUUGCAGCUGGCCCUCUGUGCUCUCUUUUCCCUUGUCUUCAGCUGGAUAUCGAUACCUAGGUUGACCUUGAAGUUCACAGAGCCUCUGUAAAGCUUGGGUCCCUUUGGCCCUCAGGGUAGCUGGAGAAUCUAAGGUAGCUGGAGUACCCAAGUAGGACACCUCAGCUGUAAGCGAUCUCCUCCAUUUACCUUAGCACACCGUACAAACUCCUUCUACAUGUUCCAUAAAGCUGAACAGUAAAGAGGUAUUUCCGUGGACUCUGAUGUUUCUCUUAGCCCUACCAUCUUUGAUUCAAAGCCAUCACCUCAUUUAUACCUUCAUCUUCUACCCCAGAAGGGAGGAUGCCCUUCCUGUCUCUUCAAGCUCUGGAGGAAGGAGUGAGACUUUUCUCUAUUACAUUCUCCCUAAAAGAUAGAGAUAAAGGAGGAAUAAAGAGAGAGAAAGCAGAAAGUCUAUUAGAGCCCUCCUAUCAGUUAAUGGGAGAGAACAAGGAGAAAGUAUAGAAGGCAGUAGGAUGACUGGAGAUUCAGGCCAGAGAAAGAGGGUGUGAUUUGCCCUUGCAUCUGCUCGUGGCAGAUCUUUGGGCUCUAAAUCCCGAAUGAGGGCCUGAGUCGUGACAACAAACUUCUAUUCCACCAGCACAUCUCUUGCCAUGGGUUUGUGCUUAAUUGAUCCAGCCUCAAAUUCUUUCAGAACUGAAGAUCUCAGCUAUUCCAAAAUGUAUUUCCAUAUGUCCUCUUCAGUAAAACCUUCUUUUCAGAGGAGGAUGUGAAAGCUAUCACUCCUUUUGGCAAUGUCAUUGCUAUUUGAAAAACCAAGAUGUAUAUACACACAUGUGCCCUGUGUGUACAUAACUUACAAUACAAUUUUCUGAUUCUGAAUAUUUGUGUGCACAGUGGAAUGUUCACUCCUCCUGGAUGUACAAGCUGCACCAUACGUCCCUAUAGCGGGAAUGUGUCUCAACUGUAGAAUAAAUGGGUUGCAUUUGGUCUGUGGCAUUAAACAGGCAAACUAAGUACUCACUACUGAGACAGGCAUAACUAGUCUACAAAGAUGUUUAUAAUCCCCCUUUUUUUUACAAGGUGUGUGAAGGAUAAUUCCAUGUUUUUAUGUCUUUUUUUUUUACCUUUGAAACAUUUAUAUAGUGUUUAUUAUAUAACAAACAAUGUAAUGAAUAUUGUUCUAAAUGUUACUCAGAUAUUAGUUUAUUUAAUUCCCUAUUAAAGUGGGAUAUUCAGGACUCCCACUUCCUGGUGGGAAUCUGGUGGGAAGUGGUAAGGACCCUGGGUCAGGAGAUCUUGUUUCCACGUCGGAGCAUGACCAAGUUUGGGGGGCAGAGCUGGAGUGAUGAAAUCGCACCUCCGCUCUGCUAUCACGGUCUUGCAGUAAGAAGCACAAGCUAGAUGACCUCCAGAGUCUAAUCCAAUUCUAGGACCAUUUUGAAUUCACUCCCUUCCUGGAUCCCAUGGCUCCCUGUGAUCUGGCACCUGACAAACUCUCCAGCCUCAUCUCAUAUCCCAACCUCACUCAGCUCCAGUCCCAUUUGGCCUCCCUUCUUUGUUCCAAAAACACUGAGCUCCUUCCCAGCUUAGGGCCUUUCCACUGGCAGUUCCUGCUGCUUGAAGCUCUUUCCUUGCAUCAUCUUGUUGCCUCUUUUUUUGUCAUUCAAGUUACUAAUUAACCUCUUCAGUGAGUCUGUCCCCAACAUCUCAGCCUAAACUGUUCCCACACCCAAUACUAACUUCCCAUCAAUCACUCUGAUUUACUAUCACCUGUCACCAUCUGAUAUUUUCUUGUUUAUUUAUUUGCCUCUUUGUGUGUAGUCUGUCUCCUCUCACUAGGAAUAAACCCCGUGACAGCGAGACGUUAUCUGUCUUAUUCGUCAUUGUAUCUCCAUUGCUUACAUAAAAGCACAGUAGCCACAGAGCCCAGCAAAUCUAGGGCUUCCAAUAGAGGCAGAAAUGGAGCCUGGGACCUAGAGCCAUAGGAUUCCCGAGUCACACGCGGGAGCAGAGGGGUCACUUAGUGCUCCACUUGCCCUUUCUCACUCAAUUCAGUGAUUUCAGAGCAAAUGUCAGGGUGACUAUGCAUCGACACACAUCCUUUUGCUCCUACUCACCUUCUACCUCUCAGAGACAAGCUGUGUAUUCUCAGGGACAUCCUGUGCAGUUGCCUCACAAGCAGUAAAUAGCGUAUCCGCCUAAGGAGACCAGUACCUCUCUGCUGAGAACAGCUGUGCAGCUCUAGUUCUGCAGAUUUGGGCUUCACAGUCUGAGGGACGAAGGCCAAGACUAGUGGCCAGUGGGACUCAGCCUGGAUGCUAAGCCCUACGUGAUGCUCUGCAAUGGCAAGAAAGGUCUCAACUGAAGCUGAUCCAAUACUGGCUGCUGCCCUAUGCAAGGGUAUGCCUUCUCUCCUAAUAGAAGAACAGGGUACCAAACCAAACAUAGUAAACAUUCUGUCUCAGAGAAAAUCCUCUGGGGUUUAAGGAAGCCAUCGAGUUUCUGGGAGGGACAGCUAUCGAAGGUGCUUCUUCCCACUCAAAAGGGAGAAGUGAUGCUUAACUCACAGCUGGAGGCAUGAUCCCCACCCAGGUGAAUCACCUGGGACUAAAGUAGAAUAAAGAGGAAUAACGCUGGUGAAGUCACAGGGCAAUGUCAGAGUGUCACCAUCUGGAUUUCAGGAGUAGGGGCAGGGCCCUGUGUGUAAAGAUUCAUCUCAACAUAUCUAUAACCCAGAGAUAAGAGUCCACGUGAUCGUUUUUAUGGUCAACUAACUUUGACAUUUCCUUCUCUCCGACCAGUUUCGGAACAUCCAGGUCUGUCAAGAGAUAUCCUUGUGCUCUCCCAGAUUCCUCCACUCUUCAGGAUCUCCUACAUCAAAUACCACAGGUAAUGACAACUCAGGACUACUAGUGAUUUUCUAUCCUAUAAUAAAAAGAUUAUAGGGUCAAAUAUUUCAGCAUUUCCCUGUCCCAGUAUUUGGUCGAGAAGUUCUUCCUUAAGCAUUGCUGACAUACCCCUUGCUGCAAUGUCAGCCCAUUUCUUCUUUUCAACCUACUGUGGAGAAGCAAAAUAAUGAGUAUCCAUAUUCUCCAUGAUUUUUGAAAACAAUGAAAUCAACCCUUAGCUUUCUCUCUCUCUCUCUCUCUCUCUCUCUCUCUCUCUACUAAAUUUCACAAGAGGCCAUGCCCCUACCACUAUAAUCUAUCUGGUAAUUCUUUCCUGGACUUUAAUUUUUUACAUUAUUUAAUUUAUUUUUUAAAUGCUUAUUUUUGAGAGAGAGAGAGAGAGAGAGAGAGAGAGAAUGAAUGAGCAGGGGAGGGGCAGAGAGACAGGGAGACACAGAAUCUGAAGCAGACUCUGGGCUCUGAGUUGCCAGUACAGAGCCCAGUGCAGGGCUCGAACCCACAAACUAUGAGCCAAAGUUGGACGUUUAACUGACGCCCCCCGGGCGCCCCUCUUUGAAUCAUUUUAAAAAUGGAGAAGUCAGAACUGCACAUACUGCUCUUGUAAGGUCUUUGGCAAGUCUUGAAGCAACAAAAGUUUUCUUUCCGAUUGGUGAUGUAGAGUUUCUGUCAUUUUCAAAGUAUACUGCUGAAUCAUAUUCAAUUUGCAUCUGGAUCUCAGGUUUCUUCUUGUCACAUAUACUCAUCCAAUCCUUUCCUGGACUGCAUUCACUUUUUGUUCCUAGGUGCACGAUGAGAUCCCAACUUUAUUCUCUUUUAGACAGUUGGCCUCCCAAAUUUCAAAAGUUUAUUUACAUUUAUUGUACCAGAAAAGUCAGCCAGCUGAGAAGAGAUGGCUGUACAUCACCUGACAAAAAUAUGGAAUGAUCCUGGUCCCAAGAAGAUACUGAUGUGGCAAACCUGGACUCCCUCUCGGGUUCAUACUGAGCCUUUGAUGACCAGGAUUUGUUUCACGGCUCCUGCUAUGACGUACCCACUGCAUGUUAGAUCCAUCUGGCCCUCAACUUUCAAAUAGUUGUUGGAAAUCCAUUCUCAGCAUUUUUUAUUUCCCUGACUUGUUUUCACAUAUACACAAACUACUCUAUUGUUUUGUGUGUCUGGAUACAAUUUUUUGCUUCUUUUUUUUAUACGUAUAUGCCCAGGUCUUUUCUAAACAUCAUUAACUGCACCAAACUUCUGCCCCUAGGUUUAGUGCCCUCACCCCAACUUUGUCCUCUUUCAGAUCAUUGGCUUCCCACAUUUACCAUGUUUACUUACAUUUUUCUUUCCCUUUCCUGAGAGGUUUUAACAUACUCAGCCAGUAAAGACCGCCUGGAGUAGUCAGUUUACAUUUGUACUUUCUGCAUAAUUAUCACAGUGUUUCCUUUAGCUCUCCAAAGUAUUUUGAUUUGAAUGGUAAAUUAUAUGGUCACCCUACAGAUAGAGCAGGCUGCCUCUCUGCUAUUCUUUCAGACUGACUCUGAACCACCUGAGGGCACCUUAAACUUGUUAUACAUUGUCCUCCCUCUGAGACUAGUUUUGGUGGUCUAGAAAAUGAGUAUCUGACCCUGGCAGGGAUGCUGUGGCAUUGCCUAGGACUUUAGGCUGACCUUUCUACCAUAAGGGCCCAUGAGGAUUAGAUGUUGAUUGCUCUGAUUCUAUGAAGCAUUGCAUCAUGAAGGUCGUGUAAUGAUUAAAAACUGUAACUUUGGAGGUGGAUCUGUUGAAGUUCAAAUCCUGCCUCUGUCACUUUUAUUUGUAUCACUUAAUUGGGACAUAUAAACCCACAUACAGGUUUUUUUUUUUUAUCAAGAGAGUUCCGAAAGAGCAUUCAUACAUGCACAGACCCAGCACUCACUACGUGGUAUUUGCAAUCCAGUGUUUGUUGACUUCUCAUGUCACAAGAUCUAAUGACAUGGAUAUAUCACAGGCGACUCAGCUCCAGGCCAGCUUGCUUACACCACUCUAGUUGACAAUAAACUUGGCCAAAUUUCUCCAGCACUAGAACUUCCACUCUACAGGACAAACCCAACAACCCUUCUUGUUUGAAUGCCCAGUAAAGGUUGAAUUAUGUCCUUCAUUUAUUCAUUCAGAAAGCACAUGUUCUUUCAGGCACACAGAGCUAAGAGCUGCAGGGAACCUAAAGAAAAUAAUGUCUAUGCCUAACCUCAAAUAGCUUCUUAUUGAGCUGGGGAUAAUAGAAGUAUACACACAAAAUCCAAAUGACCAUGUGAGACAUCGGACCCAGAAAUGUUACAAAGAAAUAUAAUGAUUAAAUGUUAAAUUAGCAGGACCUCACAUAAGAUCUAAGUUCAGAAAAGAGACAGAUAACCUAGAAAUAUGGACACCAAGGGAAUCAAGACCUAGAAUAAGAUAGAAGUAAUGGAUUGGGAAGAGAAAGAUAAAUGUUAGCUAUACACUAAGUUUCAGAAUCACACUAAUAUUUGGCAUAAGUUUCAGCCUUGUUUUCUAGAAGGCUAACUAGCUGAAUGUCUACCUCAAUGUCAUUUUUAGUAACCCAGACCAUGUAAAAUGAUCAGCAAUCCUGGGAUUGUGCUAUUUACAAUUUCAUCUAAUGAGCAUAACAACAGUAGGAAGAUAACAGAAACACGACAUUUUGGAUUAAUUUUUUUGAUAGAGUUACCAACUUUUUAUUUUGCUGAGUAAGCACUUGAGGAAGGACAACACUUACUGUCACUUCAUAAAAGGAUAUUGUGACACCAAAAAAAGUAAAUAAGACACAGUCGGACAAUUUUAAUAUCUUAACUUUCAAGUAUGGGUCUGUAUUCUAAAUCUCUUAUGUGUGAGCAUAUGAAUGAGCGCCAUUCAUAUGGGUGCUCAGAAAGGAAUUCUAGCACAGAAUAAUGUAACAGAAUAACCAGCAACCAACGGAAAGAUGGUGAGCCGCUGUGGUCAGUUCUCUUUAGCCACAGACCAAACCCCUUGAUGCGAAAGAGAUUUGAGAACUUCAUGGUACUUGUGCAAGGUAUACAAACAAGACGGCAUAGUAGCUAAUGCAUGUUUUGAAAAAAGCCACUUAACAAAGUCUUCACCCUUUACAGAUAGCAGUGCUGAUGCAGCAGGACUUAGUACCACCAAGGUCACCUGUGGGGAAGGCUGGUGAGCUGAAGCCUGCUGAAGAAGUAGCAAAUGGGAGGCACCUGUAGAAGGCAAUGAUUCCUUCAGGGUACCUUUUCCAAAGACUCCCCAUCAUUUCAUACCAGGGUGUGCCUAAAAUGAGAAUAGAAAUCCAGAAGGUGAUUCUGGAAAGGUCUUGUUACCUGGAGAUCAAAUUACCUUGUCCCACUGACACAUUUAUAUAUCCACAUUUUAAAUACAAUUUUUUUUUUUCUCAAAUGAUGAAAGGAAGCAGCAAGAAGGUGCAAAAUACACGAAAUAAACAAUUUAAAUGGGAAGGAAAAUCUUAAAUUAGCUUUUGAUAAAUAAUCAGAAAAUUAGUUCUUUAUAUAUUUUUUUCCAUUCAUAAUCACCUAUUGACUAUCUCUGCAGCACCAAAUCUGGAACCAUACGGCAUGCAUUCAAAUCCCAGCUGGGUCACUUGCUGGCUAUAUGACCUUGAGUUAGUUAUUUAAAUGUGCCUCAGUUUCCUCAUCUAUAAAAUGGGAAUAAUCAGAGUGCUCACUUUUUUUUUCUUUUUGAAUUUUAUUUAAAGAACAUCCACCAGAGAGAAACUUUCCAUUAAGUAGAAGAGAAAUCAAAUACUCUGUAAUAAAGACCAUCCAACUAAAAACAGAUUUGAUCCAUAAAAUGAUAAACAAUUUGUGUUUUAUUUCAAAGGGCAAACUCCAUUCAUUAUCUGUAGGACAAUAUAACCCACUUGUCUUGAGUGUUCAAUGAGUUAAUAUUUAUAAAGCAUUGGGAAUAGUACCUAGCAAGUAACACACAUGAUGUAGUGUUUGAGUUAAAAUGAGAUGUACCAAGCAUAACCACGGCUCACAAACAAAGGUACUCUUUUCAAGAUUAUUUCAAAUAAAUUACAUCAUCACCAUCAACCAAAUUUUCAAGUCCAGGAGUUAUAGAGAAGAACAUAAUUUAUAAUUCUAGUUAAUUAGUUUUAGAGAAAGGAAAGUUAAAUAAUUUGAUGGUGACACUGUUAUCAGCCAUAUCCCACACUGGGGGAUUAUCCAAACAGUAUCUUGCUUCUUCAUCAACCUUAGCUGAAAUAAGUGAAUGCUGAAUACACAUUGAUUGAACUAAAUUAGACUGAAUAGAAGAGGAAUCAGUUCAGAAGAUGGAGCCAUGUGGUACCAUGGAUGCUAAUGGAAGAAAAAGUAUAGAAUAAGGGCACAUGACAAGGUCAUUUACCUCAGGAAAGUUGAGAAGCAUACAGGCUAAGAAAGGGACAGUGGUUCAGUGGAUUAGGAGAUCCAUGUGGCCUUUGGUUUCAGUAGCAGUUUCGAGAAAGCCAGAUUACCAGAAGUUAAGGAGAGUGUUCUCUGGAGUAAACUGAAGGCAAAAGUAAGAAUAUAUGGAGGAUGACACCUGUAGAUGUUAAAAGGGUUAAAAAAAAAAUCCUUACUGUAUGGGAAACCCACAUGUUUAGAAAAAAGACACCAGAGAAGGAAGACUGAAAAUAUAUAGAAAGUAGAGUAUAACUGAUGAAGAAGAUUCCAGAGGAGGCUGAAGGGGGAUGAGAUGAAGAACACAGGCAGAGCAAUUGUUAGGUGGAAAAAGUGAAUAUGAGGAAGCUCAGAUCAAAUGUCCUUGAUUUUUCUGGUAAAGAAAUAGAGUAAGGGUAUAGCAGUCUCUCAGAGGACUUAAGGAAAAUAGAAAAGUUUAGAACUGCUACUAUGAGGAAGAUGAGAUGGCAUCAGCUGGACAUGAAUAAAAAGUGAUCCAUUUAGCCCUGGACACCCAAAUAAGAUGCCAUAACAGAGAUCUGUGGGGAAUCUAAGCACCACCUUCAGUAAUGACCCACUUUCCAGAACGGUGAGAAGGCAUGUGGAGAUCACAGGCUUGGGCGAACCAAGUCCAUAGAGGACCAAUUUUCAUCUGGAAAGAUCCUGCAUGGCUGACCCAGGCUGGAAAUAAUGAAGUGAAGACAGAGGUGGAAACAAGUACAGGUUCUGGAAUUGGAGGGUACAGUGAGGACAAGGAGUGGCUUUAAGAUGUGGGCCUAUGGGCAUGAGAUGGAAAGACAGUGCAUUAUUAUCAGAAGAGUGUUCGAGGAGUAUAGGAUCCUGGAGGUGGCAGAGAGCAAACGCCAAGAAUCAAGCCUUGAAAAACGUGCAAAAGGAAGCUAGAGACUGUUAGAGACUGAGGGCAGCACAGACAGUUGGGAUGUGCAGAGCGCACUUCUGGGAGACAAGAACUGGGAAGACAAAAGGCACAGAAGGUGGAAUUAGGAUCCUGGGGAUUGGAGUUUGGCACAAAUGGGUUCAAACCCAGGCUGAGUCACUUAGUUGUGUGAUCUUGGACAAGCUAUUCCAUAUUAACUAAGCUUUAUUUUCCUUAGAUGGAAAAUGAUCAUGGGAAUAAUACCUGCUUCACAGAGUUGUUCUGAGAAUCAAACACAAUUCCUAUAAAUACUUUUGCUCAGUACCUGGCUCACAAUACCCAUUCAAAAAUGUUGUUAUUGUGCAAAUUGCAUGGUUAACUUUACUAUAAUCUGCCUGCCAACUUUCUUUGUAAACUUCUCUUCUAUGUAGGCAUUCAUGAUAUGGUCAUGCUUUGAUGAUCCUCUUACUACCUCUCUGCUCUAUAUCAGUUCUUUUCCUCAGAAAAGACUUUGCGAGAUAGAACAACAAAUUCUGUUAUCUACUCGAGGUAGGGAAUAAUGUGUCCUGAUAAAACAAAUAUUCUGCUUUAUACAUGGGUAACCAUUUUUUGAAUAAUUAACAUAACAUAACACAUUUACUAAAACUGUGCUCCUCAUAAUGUAAACACUCUUUAAUGAUUAAAAAAAUCAACUUGGGGUUUUUACUGCCUUCAUUAUCUACACAUCGUCAUCAGCAUUUAUUAUCAUCUUCCUGUAGAUGAGCAGAACACCAGUUACAUUCCUUAUAACAGAGAGCAUCUGACCUCUGUGAAUGUAAGUAUAUAUAAUAAACAUUUAUAUGUACACUGUAUUAAAAAAGACCAAGUUCCAAGAAUACUAAAAAUAUGAUAGAAAGAUCGACUAUAUGCAUAUUCAGUGUCAAUAUUUUGGAUUAAGGAAAUGCCCGGAGUCACCAAAAACUUUUGGAGUUCAGCAUCAACCUUCUAGUUUGUUCCUUCAGAUCAAAGAAGUAUGAAUUCAGCUAUGCAUGGAGAAAACAAAGGACAGCCAAGAAAUUAAGCACAUCUAUUACACCCAUUGAGGCAUCAGAAUUUAACUUUUGGAAAUAGAGGCUGUUUUAGAUAAACUUCAUUUUAAAAAAUCCUUAUUUAAGGACCUCCACACACAGCACCAAAUUCUGUCCUCAGAUUCUUAAGGGAAACUGGGUCUGAAAUCAAUAUAGGCACUGUUAGAAAGGAUUUGAGGAUUGAAUCAGAGAAUAGGAUUUGGCCCCUAGGACACAAACCAUGCUACUAAUCCCGGAGAAAGGAUUUGCCUGUUUAAAGGAUUAUAAAUUUUUGAAAAGCAUAUUCUGUUGAUAAUACUUUUCAUUUCCUGCAAAUCAAAUUACUGAAGGAUAUUUUAUUGUGCAUAGAAUUGGACAAUAUUUUCAUUGUUGUUGUUUUAAUUUCUUUUGUAUUAAAGGGUACCAAAUUUCAAAAUAAUUAGAUAUGAAGUUUCAUAGGCCCAAAUGGCGACACAUCUGAAGACUCCAACAAAUAAGCUAGAAAUAAAGCCUACCAGCAAACUGGAAGACAAUCGCAUCUAAAAGAAAGUCUCCUCUUGAUUUCUGGUACUGGCGUUUAUGAGUAUGGAAAUAUCUGCAGUUUUACAAGACAAUAGCACAAAGGGAUAUGGACAAGCCCAGCAGACUUACGUGGUGGACUCUGUCUCAUCCUGGCCACUUCACACCCUGGACUCAUUUUACUCCAGUGAAACAAAUAGUAUUUUAAUAAGAGGAAAGCUCAUUGGU